AAUUGGUUCGCUCCACCAUGCGAUCAAAAAGGGAAGCCGGUGGAAAUCCGGAGCUGUCCCGCAGCUGUAAGUUGCUUAUUUAUGCCAAGCGACACUGCCGGGAACGUAAGUCUGACAACAAGACAGACCGAAGUUCAAUCUUACCGGCGGGAAGUCACUUUGCCUUCAACGACGCAACAAGCCAGAAUACCUGCCAUUGCCA
RNAcentral lists this non-coding RNA (202 nucleotides) under uncultured Prevotella sp. The record is from RNAcentral. Lineage: Bacteria; Pseudomonadati; Bacteroidota; Bacteroidia; Bacteroidales; Prevotellaceae.